Molecule: ribosomal RNA, 486 nt
Filed under: uncultured bacterium
Lineage: Bacteria
Description: partial 16S ribosomal RNA
Rfam family: Bacterial small subunit ribosomal RNA
Source: RNAcentral
GACGAACGCUGGCGGCGUGCUUAACACAUGCAAGUCGAACGGUGAUCUUGGGAGCUUGCUCUUGGGUGAUCAGUGGCGAACGGGUGAGUAACACGUGAGUAACCUGCCCCUGACUCUGGAAUAACUUCGGGAGACCGAAGCUAAUACCGGAUACGACACAGAGCUGCAUGGCUACUGUGUGGAAAGUUUUUCGGUUGGGGAUGGACUCGCGGCCUAUCAGCUUGUUGGUGAGGUAAUGGCUCACCAAGGCGACGACGGGUAGCCGGCCUGAGAGGGCGAUCGGCCACCCUGGGACUGAGACACGGCCCAGACUCCUACGGGAGGCAGCAGUGGGGAAUAUUGCACAAUGGGCGAAAGCCUGAUGCAGCGACGCCGCGUGAGGGAUGAAGGCCUUCGGGUUGUAAACCUCUUUCAGUAGGGAAGAAGCGCAAGUGACGGUACCUACAGAAGAAGCACCGGCUAACUACGUGCCAGCCGCCGCCGUAA